UGUUACCAGUGCGGAGACUUAGAUAAAACUAGAGAUGAUUGAAUGUACUUUCCUGUAUUCAACAAAGAACAUUGAUGCUUUGGGUAUAGACAAGAAAAAUAAACAUUAUUAUUGUUUCAAACGAAGUUCCUAAUACAGUGUUUGUCAGAGAGUAGCUGGCCAAUAAAUAACGCUUAUUAUUACAUUUAUGUGUUGCAGGAAAUAUGUUUCCAUAUCAUAUGAAGUAUAUUAUUAAAGAAUCACUGUGUCCAUCCAUUCACAAGACACCUGUGGAGUACCGACGACAUGCAUAUAAUGUGUUGUCUUGGACCUAGGGGAUGGGGUGUGUGCAGAAAAGAAAGAAUCUUAUAGGAUGGGAAAGGGAUGAGACCAGACAGAUAACACCAAGUGCCAUGUGCCAGGGCAAGUCUCCCAGAUUGCCUGGGGAGGGUGCAGGACAGGAGUAUGUAUCGGAGUUGGGAGGCGAGCGCUGCAUGCACAAGGAACAUCUCAGCAGCCCCUGAGGGCAGGGAGCGGGGAGGGAUUUCCAAGGAGGAGAUGCAAGGGUAGAGGAGCCUCCAGAGGGGAGAAGGAGCCACAUAUACUUAGGAAUGAGAAGGGUGGCAGCAAGCAAAACCCUCUGACCUGGGGGCACAGAGGGCAGUGGGCGCAGACCACAGAAUUCUGGCCUUGAGUUCCGGGCUGAUGCAUUUUGACGUCAUUCAACGGAAGAUGGGCAUUGGUGUGCUGCCUCUUGAGCAGGGAGUGAUCUAAUCAAAGCUUUAUGUUUUCAGUUAGGACAGCUGUCAUUGCAAGUAGCAGAAACUGAACCACAGUAGCUCAACCAAAUAGGGUUUUUCUUUCUUUUUUUUACAAAAUAUUUAUUUAUUUAUUUUUGGCUGCACUGGGUUUCCAUUGCUGUGCGCGGGCUUUCUCUAGUUGCGGUGAGUGGGGGCUACACUUCGUUGCGGCGCGCAGGCUUCUCAUUGCAGUGGCUUCUCUUGUUGCGGAGCACGGGCUCUAGGUGAGAGACUUCAGUAGUUGCAGCACUUGGGCUCAAUAGUUGUGGCUUGCGGGCUCUAGAGCGCAGGCUUAGUAGUUGUGGUGCAAGGACUUAGUGGUUCCGCGGCAUGUGGGAUCUUCCUGGACCAGGGCUCGAACCUAUGUCCCCUGCAUUGGCUGGUGGAUUCUUAACCACUGCGCCACCAGGGAAUUCCCCAAGCAUGGUUUUUCUUAUUUGCUUUGUUUUGGGUUUUUUUUCACAGAACAUGGAAUCUGGAGGUAUAAGGUCCAAAAUCUGGCUGUAGGCUCUACUAUGCUAUGAAUGAGGUAGGUGCCUUUUUUGUUUCUGCUCUACCAUCCCUGGAGUGUGGCGUUCAUCCUGAGGUUGCCUCAUGGUUACAAAAUGUCUGCUGCCCCUCCAGCCUAUGUCCGUAGUCUAUGCAGGCAGACAGGAGGAAGAGGGGCAGGGAAAGGAAGAACGAAGAAUGGGGAAGAGGAUGUGGCAGAGGGGAAAGGCUCAGACCCUUCCUGAGAAUCCACAGGAGGCCCCGUGGGAGGGAGGGCAGGAUGGAGAGGACCAGAUGGGUCUGGGGACUCCUUGGUAGCCGCAGACCCUAGAGGGAGUUCAGGUCCAGGCCCAAGUUGCAUCCUCGUGGUUCAGGGCAGAUCUAGAUGCAGACGGGAACCUGGUGGAGCCCUGGCCUGCUGCCCCAUCUGAAUCAUGCUCCCAGUGGGUUGCCCUGAGCAGUCCUCAUUCAUUCAUAUUCAUCUAUUUGCUCAUUCACUCAAUGAGCCUUUCACUUAGCAAACAUCCCCCAUCCCCACAGAUGCCCUCUUUCUCAUGACUUUGUUCAUUCAUCUUGCAGCUAUUAGUGAGCACCUACUACGUGCCAGGCAGUAUGAUAGGUGCUAGGCUCCAGGUGGACAAGACAGACAAAAUCCCUGCCCUCUCAGCAAUGAACAGACUCACUGAAAGAAAAGAAAAAAUUCUACUGUCUUAUACUAUACAGAUAAACUCCUUAUGCUUCUAGUUCUUAUGCAACAAUAUAACUUGAAUGAAUUUUCAAACGUAAUAGAAAUCAAAUGCUACAACUAAUAACAACAUAAAUGUUUUUUCUGCAUCCAGAUUCUGACUUGCGGACCAUGCUGGCCACGAUGCAGGGUUGGAAGGGAGGACGGACAAGGUAGGAGUGUCCACACUCCAUUGUGUCACCGGCAUCCCCGAGGUUCCUAGGACAGUGAUCCAGACGGUCACCCCUCAGUUCGAUGCCUGCCCUUCACCUGGGCUGCCGGGGCCAAGGCGACCGCCUGCUGGCAGCGACGGGUCCAGCUCCUCCAGCCCGGACUUUCGUCUCGCCGCGUGUGAGGCAUGUGGGCUGGGAUGUGCACAGUGCCCAGCGUCAGCCUGGAAGGGCCUGGAAUUGGGGUGGCAGGGGAGCGGCAGAGGGCGACCCUGCAUGGCCAACCUUUGGGAGCAGAAAGCAGGGCGUUUUGUCUAAUCCUCCCCAUGGCCCCGAGGGGGUGCUCUUAUUAUUCUGCCUUUGCAGGCGAGGAAGGGGGAGGUCGAAAAGGUUAAGUGACUUGGCCAAGGUCACACAGCUAGUAUGUGUCAAAA
Orcinus orca (killer whale) is the source of this 2596-nucleotide long non-coding RNA. RefSeq lists it as uncharacterized. The record is from RefSeq and is a predicted model, not a curated record. Lineage: Eukaryota; Metazoa; Chordata; Mammalia; Artiodactyla; Delphinidae. The transcript is spliced from 3 exons.